GCGAAAGCCUGAUGGAGCGACACCGCGUGAAGGACGAAGGUCUUCGGAUUGUAAACUUCUUUAGGCCUAGAUGAAGGCUGCAAGGUGAAUAAUCUUGCAGUUUGACAGUAUAGGUAGAAUAAGCCACGGCUAACUCUGUGCCAGCAGCCGCGGUAAUACAGAGGUGGCAAACGUUGUCCGGAUUUAUUGGGUGUAAAGGGCAUGUAGGUGGUUUUGUAAGUCAAAGGUGAAAUGGCCCGGCUCAACCAGGUCAUUGCCUUUGAAACUGCAGGACUUGAGUACGGAAGAGGAAAGCGGAAUUCCCAGUGUAGCGGUGAAAUGCGUAGAUAUUGGGAGGAACACCGGUGGCGAAGGCGGCUUUCUGGUCCGAAACUGACACUGAGAUGCGAAAGCCAGGGGAGCAAACAGGAUUAGAUACCCUGGUAGUCCACGCUGUAAACGAUGUGUGCUAGUCGUUGGGGAGCCUAGCUUUCCGGUGUCGCAGCAAACGCGAUAAGCACACCGCCUGGGGAGUA
RNAcentral lists this ribosomal RNA (515 nucleotides) under uncultured bacterium. Its description in RNAcentral is "bacterial SSU rRNA". It matches the Rfam family "Bacterial small subunit ribosomal RNA", at positions 375 to 882 of the family's 1533-position model. The record is from RNAcentral.